AUUGAACGCUGGCGGCAUGCCUUACACAUGCAAGUCGAACGGCAGCACGGGAGCAAUCCUGGUGGCGAGUGGCGAACGGGUGAGUAAAGUAUCGGAACGUGCCCAGUCGUGGGGGAUAAUGUAGCGAAAGUUACGCUAAUACCGCAUACGAUCUAUGGAUGAAAGCGGGGGAUCGCAAGACCUCGCGCGAUUGGAGCGGCCGAUAUCAGAUUAGGUAGUUGGUGGGGUAAAGGCUCACCAAGCCGACGAUCUGUAGCUGGUCUGAGAGGACGACCAGCCACACUGGGACUGAGACACGGCCCAGACUCCUACGGGAGGCAGCAGUGGGGAAUUUUGGACAAUGGGCGAAAGCCUGAUCCAGCCAUGCCGCGUGCAGGAUGAAGGCCUUCGGGUUGUAAACUGCUUUUGUACGGAACGAAACGGUGAGCUCUAAUACAGUUUGCUAACGACGGUACCGUAAGAAUAAGCACCGGCUAACUACGUGCCAGCCGCCGCAGUAA
Molecule: ribosomal RNA, 500 nt
Filed under: uncultured bacterium
Lineage: Bacteria
Description: partial 16S ribosomal RNA
Rfam family: Bacterial small subunit ribosomal RNA
Source: RNAcentral